AUUGAACGCUGGCGGCAUGCUUUACACGUGCAAGUCGAACGGUAACAGGCCUUCGGGUGCUGACGAGUGGCGAACGGGUGAGUAAUGCAUCGGAACGUACCCAGAGGUGGGGGAUAACGCAGCGAAAGCUGUGCUAAUACCACAUGUGAUCUGAGGAUGAAAGCGGGGGACCGAGCAGCAAUGUUUGGCCUCGCGCCUUUGGAGCGGCCGAUGUCGGAUUAGCUAGUUGGUGGGGUAAAGGCCUACCAAGGCGACGAUCCGUAGCUGGUCUGAGAGGACGACCGGCCACACUGGGACUGAGACACGGCCCAGACUCCUACGGGAGGCAGCAGUGGGGAAUGUUGGGCAAUGGGCGCAAGCCUGAUCCAGCAAUGCCGCGUGCGGGAAGAAGGCCUUCGGGUUGUAAACCGCUUUUGGCAGGAACGAAACGGUGUCCGCUAAUACCGGGCGCUAAUGACGGUACCUGCAGAAUAAGCACCGGCUAACUACGUG
RNAcentral lists this ribosomal RNA (492 nucleotides) under uncultured bacterium. RNAcentral's name for it is "partial 16S ribosomal RNA". It matches the Rfam family "Bacterial small subunit ribosomal RNA", at positions 29 to 507 of the family's 1533-position model. The record is from RNAcentral.